This 237-nucleotide unclassified non-coding RNA is filed under the name Ambisporaceae sp. RNAcentral describes it as "partial contains 5.8S ribosomal RNA and internal transcribed spacer 2". The stretch from base 1 to 71 matches the Rfam family "5.8S ribosomal RNA", at positions 84 to 154 of the family's 154-position model. The record is from RNAcentral. Lineage: Eukaryota; Fungi; Glomeromycota; Glomeromycetes; Archaeosporales; Ambisporaceae.
GUGAAUCAUCAAAUUUUUGAACGCAUAUUGCGCUCUCUGGUAUUCCGGAGAGUAUGCCUAUUUGAGGGUCAGUUGAAAUAAUAUCAAUUUCGAGAUUUUCUGGAAAUCAAAAAUGGGUCGUUCCAGCUCUCGUUUGGUUGUCGCCUAAAAUUCCAGACAAUCUCAUUUCUUGGUUUGCGUGAUACUUUCAGUUACCUCGUGUCUUCACUAGAAAUCUUCUUGCGUGUUGAGAAUUUU